This 1287-nucleotide long non-coding RNA is filed under the name Ananas comosus (pineapple). Its description in RNAcentral is "long non-coding RNA (ACOM_LNC037543)". The record is from RNAcentral. Lineage: Eukaryota; Viridiplantae; Streptophyta; Magnoliopsida; Poales; Bromeliaceae.
UUGAGGUAAGCUACUAAACCCUAGCUUCUAGAACUUAGGGUUUUUGGGUUUUAUGCCUUGGAAUGGGUCAAAUGGACCCUAAGCAAGCUUCUAAAUAGAUCAAUCCCAAGAAUCUAGGGAUUUAUGGGGUGAUUUGCUAUAGGUGCAAAUCUAGGGUUCCAAAAUGGGGUUUUUGUAAAAGUAUGAGAUUGAUCUCAUUUGAAGCCUUGGAAACCCUAUUGAUAGGUCCCAAAACGCGGGGGCGAAGUCGAUUUUGGCAUUCGGCGAACCGACGUGAAGUUCUCGGCAAAAUUGGGCCGGGCUAGCAUUGAUUCGGGCGAGGAAGGCUAAAGCCUUUUUGCGAAGCUCGCCGAGAAGAAUUUCCAAAGCCUCUACAUUGAUAAAAAGGUGGGGGGUGUCAUCCGAAACUUUCGAACUCCUUUCUAUGUCUUAGAUUGCAUUUAAUCUCAUCUCUUACAUGUUGCAUUGUAGGAUUGCAUAGUAGCUCUAUCCUUAUGCUUUCUAAAUGAUAACCUAGUGUACUUGGAACGCUUGGUAACUAGAUAGGUGAGGAUUGGGUCGGAACGUGGAUCCUAUGAUGCUAAAGAUAGAGAUGAACCCGAUGGGGGUAUUGAUGACAUAGAAAGUAGUGUUAUUGUCAAAGAACAAACGAGUGACAUCCAAACAUUGAAUGAUAACGAGUGGCAUUAAUGUAGUGUAAAGAACACUAGAGGUCGAUGGACCUAGGGAUAGGUGGAUCCCUUAGAAAAUGCCUUGUGAACAAUGAAUUUAGAAAACUAAAUAACAUUGCAUGAAUGUCGGAAAUCGAUGAUUCCGCGACAGUCGUUGACUCUAGCAGUAGAGCCUCCUCACUUGGAGAGGAUUGGAUUGGGUUAUUGACCCUAGUUGUAGAGUGUCCUCGCUUGGAGAGGAUAGAUCUAGCUCACAGUCUGCGUAUGGGGUGGUAUAGCCAUCCAAUCCCCACAUGGAGGGGAUUGUCGUCGAGUACUCCGGAGUGUCGCGCGACUAGGACCACUUGGAGGUCCGGACCACAUGGAGGUCCGCAGACGGUCCCGGGCUUGGGUGCACUUGGAGCUCCCUCCCCACUUUGGGAUUUGAAGGUGAGUCAUGGGCGAGCCCUAGGGCCUCACCACAGAUUGGGUAAAUGAAAAAGGUUAAAGGUUUAUAAAUGUCAUUGAGCAUUACUAUUCGAACAUGGAUCGAAUUUGUUAGCAUGGUAGCAAACCUUUAUUAUAUGAUGCAUGCAUUCAUAUUCAUGAUUAUGGGCAUAGUAGCAUAGUUUUCCUA